AGGUCUUGACAUCCCGACUGCUAUUUCUUAGAGAUAGAAAGUUACUUGGUACAUCGGUGACAGGUGGUGCAUGGUUGUCGUCAGCUCGUGUCGUGAGAUGUUGGGUUAAGUCCCGCAACGAGCGCAACCCCUAUUGUUAGUUUGCCAUCAUUCAGUUGGGCACUCUAGCGAGACUGCCGGUAAUAAACCGGAGGAAGGUGGGGAUGACGUCAAAUCAUCAUGCCCCUUAUGACCUGGGCUACACACGUGCUACAAUGGUUGGUACAACGAGUUGCGAGUCGGUGACGGCGAGCUAAUCUCUUAAAGCCAAUCUCAGUUCGGAUUGUAGGCUGCAACUCGCCUACAUGAAGUCGGAAUCGCUAGUAAUCGCGGAUCAGCACGCCGCGGUGAAUACGUUCCCGGGCCUU
This 407-nucleotide ribosomal RNA is filed under the name uncultured Streptococcus sp. Its description in RNAcentral is "bacterial SSU rRNA". It matches the Rfam family "Bacterial small subunit ribosomal RNA", at positions 976 to 1382 of the family's 1533-position model. Lineage: Bacteria; Bacillati; Bacillota; Bacilli; Lactobacillales; Streptococcaceae. The record is from RNAcentral.